CCUCCAAGUCAGUAUUGUGAGCCAGGCUCUGAUCUUCGUCACCCGUUCCCGUAGCUGGUCCUUCGUGGAGCGCCCUGGUCUGCUCCUGGUCACCGCUUUCCUGCUUGCUCAACUUGUAAGUACCUGCUGUUUGCCUCUGAUCCAACUGAAACUUAGCACAUCAACACGUGCCUAAUCUGAGCCUAUUCUGCUGGUACAGGUUGCGACCUUCCUUGCUGUGUACGCCAACUGGGGUUUUGCCAGGAUCGAGGGUAUCGGCUGGGGCUGGGCUGGUGUUGUCUGGCUGUACAGCAUCGUGUUCUACUUCCCGCUCGACCUGUUCAAGUUCUUCAUCCGCUUCGUGCUCAGUGGCAGGGCCUGGGACAACCUCCUUGAGAACAAGGUACUGUACCGCUUCCUCUGUCAUUGGACGGGUAGAUAGACGUAGCUGUAAUUUCCAAAGCAAGUUUGCUGAUGGAUUUCUGAAUUCUGGUGCGCAGACGGCCUUCACCACCAAGAAGGAUUACGGCCGGGAGGAGAGGGAGGCGCAAUGGGCCACCGCCCAGAGGACACUCCACGGUCUCCAGCCGCCGGAGGCCGCCUCGAACACGCUGUUCAACGACAAGAGCAGCUACCGCGAGCUGUCCGAGAUCGCGGAGCAGGCCAAGAGACGAGCUGAGAUCGCGAGGCUGCGGGAGCUGAACACGCUCAAGGGCCACGUGGAGUCGGUGGUGAAGCUCAAGGGGCUGGACAUCGACACCAUCCAGCAGAACUACACGGUGUGAGACACCGCCGGGAUGUCGACGAAACCUUUGCCCGCCCGCCCAGUAUUUGCGAAUGGAGUCAUCUGAUUACUACAGGAAUUUUUCCGGUGAUGAACCAAAACAAAGAAAAAAACCGUGU
Molecule: long non-coding RNA, 882 nt
Filed under: Setaria viridis
Lineage: Eukaryota; Viridiplantae; Streptophyta; Magnoliopsida; Poales; Poaceae
Description: long non-coding RNA (SVIR_LNC002523)
Source: RNAcentral